AUCGUCAAUCUGUUGCGGCGCGAUAAAGUGGAUAUGCGCGUCCAUCCCGCCAGCGGUCAGGAUGCGGCCUUCGCCCGCGAUGAUCUCGGUUCCGGGGCCAAUGAUGACAUUGACGCCCGGUUGCGUGUCGGGGUUGCCCGCCUUGCCGAUCACCGCGAUGCGGCCAUCGCGCAGGCCGACAUCGGCCUUGUAGAUGCCUGUCCAGUCCACGAUCAGGGCAUUGGUGAUUACCGUGUCCAUCGCGCCUUGUGCGCGGGUCAGCUGCGACUGGCCCAUGCCAUCGCGGAU
Molecule: small RNA, 288 nt
Filed under: Gemmobacter megaterium
Lineage: Bacteria; Pseudomonadati; Pseudomonadota; Alphaproteobacteria; Rhodobacterales; Paracoccaceae
Description: Catellibacterium sp. CF17 5' ureB small RNA
Rfam family: 5' ureB small RNA
Source: Rfam by way of RNAcentral